UACAUGGGGUGCAAACGUUGCUCGGAAUUAUUGGGCGUAAAGCGCACGUAGGCGGUUUGUUAAGUCGGAUGUGAAAUCCCUCGGCUCAACUGAGGAAGUGCAUCCGAAACUGGCAAGCUUGAGUACGAAAGAGGGUCGCGGAAUACCCGGUGUAGAGGUGAAAUGCGUAGAUAUCGUCAGGAAUGCCGGUGGUGAAGACGGGUGACUGGGCUGGUUCUGACACUGAGGCACGAAAGCGUGGGGAGCGAACGGG
Molecule: ribosomal RNA, 253 nt
Filed under: uncultured bacterium
Lineage: Bacteria
Description: partial 16S ribosomal RNA
Rfam family: Bacterial small subunit ribosomal RNA
Source: RNAcentral